Molecule: ribosomal RNA, 391 nt
Filed under: uncultured bacterium
Lineage: Bacteria
Description: bacterial SSU rRNA
Rfam family: Bacterial small subunit ribosomal RNA
Source: RNAcentral
AUUGAACGCUGGCGGCAUGCCUUACACAUGCAAGUCGAACGGCAGCACGGGAGCAAUCCUGGUGGCGAGUGGCGAACGGGUGAGUAAUAUAUCGGAACGUGCCCAGUCGUGGGGAUAACGUAGCGAAAGCUACGCUAAUACCGCAUACGAUCUAUGGAUGAAAGCGGGGGAUCGCAAGACCUCGCGCGAUUGGAGCGGCCGAUAUCAGAUUAGGUAGUUGGUGAGGUAAAGGCUCACCAAGCCGACGAUCUGUAGCUGGUCUGAGAGGACGACCAGCCACACUGGGACUGAGACACGGCCCAGACUCCUACGGGAGGCAGCAGUGGGGAAUUUUGGACAAUGGACGCAAGUCUGAUCCAGCCAUUCGCCGUGCAGGAUGAAGGCCCUCGGG